This 975-nucleotide unclassified non-coding RNA is filed under the name Hevea brasiliensis (rubber tree). The record is from RNAcentral. Lineage: Eukaryota; Viridiplantae; Streptophyta; Magnoliopsida; Malpighiales; Euphorbiaceae.
UCCAUGUUCCUCAAAGCAUGGGCUUAUAUAUGCAAGCAAAGCGACAAUGGAAAAAUUAUCCCUUUAUUGCCGGAAUUAAUCCCAUCAUUUGACAGGGCGUCCAUCAGAGACCCUGAUGGGCUUGAGCAAUUCUACUUGAACCAGUGGCGAGCCACGCCUGGGUUAGAUUCAGAGUCCAACCCGCUAAGUGUGAAAUUUUUGUCCAAAAUUCUAGGAGUACCACAUAAUCUUGUUCGAUCCACGUUUCAGUUAAGCCGUGAAAGCAUCCAAAAAAUCAGGGAAAAUGUACUGGGUUACCACCAGUGCCGCGCUGGGCUAAGGAGUAUGGAACAUCUUCAUCUUUCAACGCUAGUGGUUGCAUGUUCUUAUGUGUCGGUCUGCUUGGUGAAAGCUAGAGGAGGAGAUAGUAAAAGAAGAGUUUACAUUCUGGUGCCAGCGGAUUGCAGGAGCCGCAGAGACCCUUCAGUUCCACCUAAUUACUUUGGCAAUUGUCUUUAUGUCCUGGACACGGUUGCAGAAGCAGGUAUUUUCAUGGAGAAAAAUGGAGUGGCUAUUGUAGCAGAGAAGCUUAGCGAUUCAAUAAAAGGGUUGGAGAAAGGAAUUUUCCAAGGAGCAAAAGAGAGACAUGCCAGAUUGAGGGCUGAGGGAGCAGAGGUGCAAAAGAUUGGAAUAACAGGAUCGCCUAAGUUCAAGUAUUAUGAGGAGGAUUUUGGAUGGGGAAGACCCGAGAAAGUGGAGAUUGUGUCCAUUGAUAAGGUAAAUGGUGUUUCGUUGAUGGAAGAUGAAGAUGGGGUUGAGAUUGGGCUGGUCUUGCCCAGACAUGAAACAGAGGCAUUUGCUUCACUUUUUCUUCAAGGCCUACAUGACUCGUAGCUGAGGCUCCCAAAAUUUUCACUUUACUUUCGUUGAAGGGUCGAAUUGUGUUCAAUUUACCUGUACCGAACAAUAUUAAUAAUACUAGAUAAGACUUGCCCG